CCCACUAUAGUUUAUUUAAAACAUUGAAUUGCAAAUUCGGAAAAGAAAUAAAACAUUUCUAGUGUGU
RNAcentral lists this transfer RNA (67 nucleotides) under Xenophora japonica. RNAcentral describes it as "tRNA-Cys". It matches the Rfam family "tRNA". Rfam says of the family: Transfer RNA (tRNA) molecules are approximately 80 nucleotides in length. Their secondary structure includes four short double-helical elements and three loops (D, anti-codon, and T loops). The record is from RNAcentral. Lineage: Eukaryota; Metazoa; Mollusca; Gastropoda; Littorinimorpha; Xenophoridae.